UACGUAGGGGGCAAGCGUUGUCCGGAAUCAUUGGGCGUAAAGCGCGCGUAGGCGGCCAGACAAGUCCGGUGUGAAAGUCACAGGCUCAACCUGUGAAUGCCGCUGGAAACUGUCUGGCUAGAGUCCGGAAGGGGCGAGUGGAAUUCCUGGUGUAGCGGUGAAAUGCGCAGAUAUCAGGAGGAACACCUAUGGCGAAGGCAGCUCGCUGGGACGGUACUGACGCUGAGAAGCGAAAGCAUGGGGAGCGAACAGG
This 253-nucleotide ribosomal RNA is filed under the name uncultured bacterium. RNAcentral's name for it is "partial 16S ribosomal RNA". It matches the Rfam family "Bacterial small subunit ribosomal RNA", at positions 524 to 776 of the family's 1533-position model. The record is from RNAcentral.